AACGCACCUUGCGGCCGCUGGAACUCCAGCGGCCAUGCCUGUCCGAGCGCCGCCUAAGACCCUCGAGGCGCCCCCUGUGGGGCGCCCGGCGUUGGGCGUCCACCGCUGCGGUGGGCCCCUAAAGAGAUCGGCGGGCGCCGCGACGCUGACGCGCAGAGUACCACUGCUGGCGCAGCCGGCGCGCAGCGCUCCCCCAGAGCCCUAGGCACACGCUGACGGCCUCGGAUCAGGCAGGACUACCCGCUGAACUUAA
Molecule: unclassified non-coding RNA, 253 nt
Filed under: uncultured fungus
Lineage: Eukaryota; Fungi
Description: partial contains 5.8S ribosomal RNA, internal transcribed spacer 2, and large subunit ribosomal RNA
Source: RNAcentral